UGGGGAAUAUUGCGCAAUGGCCGCAAGGCUGACGCAGCGACGCCGCGUGUGGGAUGACGGCCUUCGGGUUGUAAACCACUGUCAGGGGGAACGAAUACGGGACCUCGAAUAGGGGCUCCUGGGUGACGGUACCCCCAAAGGAAGCACCGGCUAACUCCGUGCCAGCAGCCGCGGUAAUACGGAGGGUGCGAGCGUUGUCCGGAAUCACUGGGCGUAAAGGGCGCGUAGGCGGCUCGUUAAGUUGCCGGUGAAAGCCCGGGGCUCAACUCCGGGAAGUCUGGUAAGACUGACGAGCUCGAGCACGGUAGAGGCAGAUGGAAUUCCCGGUGUAGCGGUGGAAUGCGUAGAGAUCGGGAAGAACACCAGUGGCGAAGGCGGUCUGCUGGGCCGUUGCUGACGCUGAGGCGCGACAGCGUGGGGAGCAAACAGG
Molecule: ribosomal RNA, 430 nt
Filed under: uncultured bacterium
Lineage: Bacteria
Description: bacterial SSU rRNA
Rfam family: Bacterial small subunit ribosomal RNA
Source: RNAcentral